GACGAACGCUGGCGGCGUGCUUAACACAUGCAAGUCGAACGGAAAGGCCCUUCGGGGUACUCGAGUGGCGAACGGGUGAGUAACACGUGGGUGAUCUGCCCUGCACUUUGGGAUAAGCCUGGGAAACUGGGUCUAAUACCGAAUAGGACCACGCGCUUCAUGGUGUGUGGUGGAAAGCUUUUGCGGUGUGGGAUGGGCCCGCGGCCUAUCAGCUUGUUGGUGGGGUAAUGGCCUACCAAGGCGACGACGGGUAGCCGGCCUGAGAGGGUGACCGGCCACACUGGGACUGAGAUACGGCCCAGACUCCUACGGGAGGCAGCAGUGGGGAAUAUGGCACAAGGGGCGCAAGCCUGAUGCAGCGACGCCGCGUGAGGGAUGACGGCCUUCGGGUUGUAAACCUCUUUCACCAGGGACGAAGCGUAAGUGACGGUACCUGGAGAAGAAGCACCGGCCAACUACGU
Molecule: ribosomal RNA, 461 nt
Filed under: uncultured bacterium
Lineage: Bacteria
Description: partial 16S ribosomal RNA
Rfam family: Bacterial small subunit ribosomal RNA
Source: RNAcentral